AUUGAACGCUGGCGGCAGGCCUAACACAUGCAAGUCGAGCGGAUGAAGGGAGCUUGCUCCUGGAUUCAGCGGCGGACGGGUGAGUAAUGCCUAGGAAUCUGCCUGGUAGUUGGGGAUAACGUCCGGACACGGGCGCUAAUACCGCAUACGUCCUGAGGGAGAAAGUGGGGGAUCCUCGGACCUCACGCUAUCAGAUGAGCCUAGGUCGGAUUAGCCAGUUGGUGGGGUAAAGGCCUACCAAGGCGACUAUCCGUAACUGGUCUGAGAGGAUGAUCAGCCACACUGGAACUGAGACACGGUCCAGACUCCUACGGGAGGCAGCAGUGGGGAAUAUUGGACAAUGGGCGAAAGCCUGAUCCAGCCAUGCCGCGUGUGUGAAGAAGGUCUUCGGAUUGUAAAGCACUUUAAGUUGGGAGGAAGGGCAGUAAGUUAAUACCUUGCUGUUUUGACGUUACCAACAGAAUAAGCACCGGCUAACUUCGUG
Molecule: ribosomal RNA, 484 nt
Filed under: uncultured bacterium
Lineage: Bacteria
Description: partial 16S ribosomal RNA
Rfam family: Bacterial small subunit ribosomal RNA
Source: RNAcentral